This 2157-nucleotide long non-coding RNA is filed under the name Homo sapiens (human). Its description in RNAcentral is "HSALNT0068466". The record is from RNAcentral. Lineage: Eukaryota; Metazoa; Chordata; Mammalia; Primates; Hominidae.
GUGCAGGCAUCCCCUGCACAACCAAAUCAGCCCAUUGCACAGCCCUGUCAAUCCUUCUGUCCCAACCUCUUUCGGAGCUUCCUCCCCUCUCCAUCCCCACAGCCCUCCCUGUAUCACGAAACAGGUUCUCACCUGCUCCUGCUGCUUUCUCACUCCUGAUCCAGCCUCUUCAUUGAGCCACAGGUGUCUCUGUCUAAGAAAACCUCAUACCUCCCCACUACAUGAUCCCUUCAAUGGCUCCCCACUGCCUUUGGGUUAAAGAUCUGAGUGUUCACCCUCACCUACAAGCACUUUGGGAAGUGGUUCCUGCCCCUAUCUACACUCAUCCCUCAAAUCCCCAGCCAUCUCCAGGUGCCACCCUCAUGUCCUCCUUCCUCUCCAUCCAGAAUUAGUUAUGCUGCACAAAGUGCAGGUCUAAACCCCAGGCCUUUAACAGUGCUGUUCCCUCUUCCCUGCAUUUUCCCUGUUGAUUAAACCCCUGCUUAGCUUUCCAGACCUGGAUCAGAUGUCUGCCCUUUCCUGAGUCCCUCUUACCCCAGAAUUAUGCAUCCAUCCUUGGCAUUCCCAGCUCCCUUCGUGGAAGGAGGAUGAGGGGUGCAGAUCUUGUGGGCCAGCCCCUACAGCUCAUUCUACCUUCCAGUCGGACUGCAUCUUCCUGGUGUGACAGGGAGAACUUGUGGUGUGCUGACAAUGAGGAGUGGCUGACUCCAAGACCCCUGGCCUGUCCUGGCUCAUCAAGGCCUUUCCUCAUCCUCAAGGGGAAUGGGAAAAUAGCUGGUUUAUCCUUGCAUCAUCAGAAAUUAGGCUAAGCCUGGAACAAAGUGUGUGAGUAAAUAUUAAUUGGAUAACUGAGAAAAAUAAUCAGGAAGAUAAAGAACAGACAAAAGAUGAAAGAGAGUCAGCAGGGAGGAUGGAGAAAAGAAAAUUGAGGAUGAAGCUAUACUCAAAGCUCAAAGCAUGCUCCUAAAGGACCCAUGAAGAUACCCAUUUUAGAGAUGUGGAAACUGAGGCCCAGAGAAGUCCCGGUAAAUUGCCCCAAAAUAGCACAUCUGUUUGAAUCUGAAACCCAAACCCAUGUCUGUCUAAUUCUUUCAGUUAUUCGAGGUCAUUGUCAUGAACCUCUGCCAAGCCAGGUGCCUCUUCUCUCAUUCCUGUGCAAUUGAGUUUUCCAAUGCUGCUUCUAAUUUGCAAAUACAGUUUUUAUUCCUCAUUAUAAAAGUUGUAUGUGCUCAUUUUAGAGAACCAGGAAACUAGAGAAAAGUAUUUAAAGCAGCAAAUAUAAUUUCUAUUAUUCCCAUCACUCUAGGACAAUCCCUGUUAAAAUUUUAAUAGUUUCUAGCCUUUUCUAUGUGUUUAUAUUUGCUAUAUACAUGUUUAGAUUAGAUUUCUAAUGCCAUUUAAAAUUAUGCUUUUUUCACUUAAGACCACAUCCUCAGCAUUUCUCUACAUCACUAGAAACUCUAACGCUUUUUAACUUUUUUAUUGAGGACUUACUAAGUGUCAAGUCCUGUUCUAAAUGCAGGCUUAUGUUCACAUUUGCUAUACAAGUGCACUAUCACUUACUUGGCUUUGCCUCUAUGGUUAGGCAUUUGAGUGGCUUUGAUUUUUUACUCUAGCAGUAAUUCCAUAAUAAUUUAUUUUUGAGACAGGGUCUCACUGUCUCCCAGGCUAGUGAUCAUGGCUCACUGCAGCCUCAGCCUCCUGGGCUUAGGUGAUCCACCCACCUCAGCCUCCCAAGUAGCUGGGACCACAGGCACACACCACCUUGCCUGGCUAAUUUUUUUAAAAAUUAUUUUUUGUAGAGAUAGGGUUUCACAUGUUGCCCAGGCUGGUCUUGAACUCCUGGGCUCAAGAGAUCCUUCCACCUUGGCCUCCCAAAUUGCUGGGAUUACAGGCAUGAACCACCACGCCUGGCCAACAGACUUUUAUGGGCAAAAAUUUCCACCCAUACUUGGAUAAGCAAUUAAGUUUUAAAAGUUUAAAUAUUGCUAUGGAGGAACUGUGUCAACCCAAAAAAUUUGUAUGUUGAAGGUGUAACCCCAGAUGUGACUAUAUUUGAAGACAGGGCUCUUAGGAGGUCAUUAAGGUUAAAUAGGGUGCCACAAGGGUGGAGUCGUGAUCUUAUGGGACUGGUGUCUUUAUAAGAAGAGGAAAGGG